GGCGGUUCUUGGGUGAUGCACCCAGAACCAGAGAGGAGGGAGCCCGAUUCCAGGGUGCAUCACCCAAGAACUGCC
This is a non-coding RNA of Myotis davidii, 75 nucleotides long. The record is from Rfam. NCBI's taxonomy places the organism in Eukaryota, Metazoa, Chordata, Mammalia, Chiroptera, Vespertilionidae.